UGGAGCAUGUGGUUUAAUGUCGAAGAUACGCGAAGAACCUUACCUGGCGUUGACAUUGAUAGAAUCUGCUAGAGAUAGCGGAGUGCCCUUCGGGGAGCUUGAAAACAGGUGCUGCACGGCUGUCGUCAGCUCGUGUCGUGAGAUGUUGGGUUAAGUCCCGCAACGAGCGCAACCCUCGUCACUAGUUACUAACGGUUCGGCCGAGGACUCUAGUGAGACUGCCUUCGUAAGGAGGAGGAAGGUGAGGACGACGUCAAGUCAUCAUGGCCCUUACGGCCAGGGCGACACACGUGCUACAAUGGGAUGUACAAUGAGACGCAAUACCGCGAGGUGGAGCAAAUCUAUAAAGCAUCUCUCAGUUCGGAUUGUAGUCUGCAACUCGACUACAUGAAGCUGGAAUCACUAGUAAUCGUAGAUCAGCCAUGCUACGGUGAAUACGUUCCCGGGUCUUGUACUCACCGCCCGUCACACCAUGGGAGUUGAUUUCACCCGAAGCGGGGAAGCUAAACUGGCUACCCUCCACGGUGGAAUCAGCGACUGG
RNAcentral lists this ribosomal RNA (541 nucleotides) under uncultured Campylobacterota bacterium. RNAcentral describes it as "bacterial SSU rRNA". It matches the Rfam family "Bacterial small subunit ribosomal RNA", at positions 933 to 1478 of the family's 1533-position model. Lineage: Bacteria; Pseudomonadati; Campylobacterota. The record is from RNAcentral.